This 538-nucleotide ribosomal RNA is filed under the name uncultured bacterium. Its description in RNAcentral is "bacterial SSU rRNA". It matches the Rfam family "Bacterial small subunit ribosomal RNA", at positions 355 to 905 of the family's 1533-position model. The record is from RNAcentral.
UGGGGAAUCUUGGACAAUGGGGGCAACCCUGAUCCAGCCAUGCCGCGUGAGUGAUGAAGGCCUUAGGGUCGUAAAGCUCUUUCGCCUGUGAAGAUAAUGACGGUAGCAGGUAAAGAAACCCCGGCUAACUCCGUGCCAGCAGCCGCGGUAAUACGGAGGGGGUUAGCGUUGUUCGGAAUUACUGGGCGUAAAGCGCACGUAGGCGGACCAGAAAGUUGGGGGGUGAAAUCCCGGGGGCUCAACCCCGGAACUGCCUCCAAAACUAUUGGUCUAGAGUUCGAGAGAGGUGAGUGGAAUUCCAAGUGUAGAGGUGAAAUUCGUAGAUAUUUGGAGGAACACCAGUGGCGAAGGCGGCUCACUGGCUCGAUACUGACGCUGAGGUGCGAAAGUGUGGGGAGCAAACAGGAUUAGAUACCCUGGUAGUCCACACCGUAAAACGAUGAAUGCCAGUCGUCGGGUAGCAUGCUAUUCGGGUGACACACCUAACGGAUUAAGCAUUCCGGCCUGGGGAGUACGGUCGCAAGAUUAAAACCUCAAA